This 617-nucleotide long non-coding RNA is filed under the name Panax ginseng (ginseng). RNAcentral's name for it is "long non-coding RNA (PGIN_LNC011412)". The record is from RNAcentral. Lineage: Eukaryota; Viridiplantae; Streptophyta; Magnoliopsida; Apiales; Araliaceae.
AUCAAAAAUUCCCCAACUGAUUGAGAUUCUAGUUUCCUUUGCAUAAUUUAACUAUCAUAUGUUUAUUAGAUAAUAUGGUAAUGCAAAGAGAGACCUUGUUCCACUAGACUGAUAAUAAACAUGCUACCAACACUGAAUCAAAAAAGCUGGUGCAACAACCCUUCUUUUCCAACGCUUUUCCACACAUGUAACUACCCUCCCACACUUUGAAAAUGAUCCUAACCUUACCCUAGUAACCGUACUCCUCUGUCUUAGGCUAAAGCAAAGACAACACUUUGACACCUUUGAUAGCCACAAAGCACAACUUGAAUACUAUCCAAUCAACCAGAAAUUUGUGGACGGAAUUUUUAUACAGGUGACCCUCAGAUAAGAAUGAAAGUAAGUAAUGCUACAUCUAUCCUUAUCUUUAAACAGAUUACAGGAAACAGAAUAAUAGACACUCUAUAGACCUGGUAAAAUUUAGUUUUGGGUUGGAUUUUGGUUUAAAAAUAUGGUUAUGGGUUAAUUUAAAACUAAAACUAUAUUAACUGUUUUUAUUAUGGGUUAAAUAGGUUCAACCCAAAUGGGUAUGGGGUCGAAACUUAUUCAACCCAAAUCAAGGCCAAAUAUUUAUGGCA